GUGGACCUCGGAUCAGGCAGGG
RNAcentral lists this ribosomal RNA (22 nucleotides) under Teratosphaeria epicoccoides. RNAcentral describes it as "partial 28S ribosomal RNA". Lineage: Eukaryota; Fungi; Ascomycota; Dothideomycetes; Mycosphaerellales; Teratosphaeriaceae. The record is from RNAcentral.